This 497-nucleotide ribosomal RNA is filed under the name uncultured bacterium. RNAcentral describes it as "partial 16S ribosomal RNA". It matches the Rfam family "Bacterial small subunit ribosomal RNA", at positions 28 to 507 of the family's 1533-position model. The record is from RNAcentral.
GAUGAACGCUGGCGGCGUGCCUAAUACAUGCAAGUCGAGCGAACAGACGAGGAGCUUGCUCCUCUGACGUUAGCGGCGGACGGGUGAGUAACACGUGGAUAACCUACCUAUAAGACUGGGAUAACUUCGGGAAACCGGAGCUAAUACCGGAUAAUAUAUUGAACCGCAUGGUUCAAUAGUGAAAGACGGUUUUGCUGUCACUUAUAGAUGGAUCCGCGCCGCAUUAGCUAGUUGGGAAGGUAACGGCUUACCAAGGCAACGACGCGAAGCGGACCUGAGGGGGAGAUCGCCCACACGGGAACUGAGGACCGGUCCAGACCCCUGCGGGGGGAAGCGGUAGGGAAUCUUCCGCAAUGGGGGAAAGCCGGACGGGGCAAAGCCGCGUGAAGGAUGAAGGUCUUCGGAUGGUAGAACGCUGUAAUUAGGAAAGAACAAAAGUGUAGGUAACUGUGCACAUAAUGACGGUACCUAAACAGAAAGCCACGGCUAACUACGUG